Molecule: non-coding RNA, 2758 nt
Organism: Bactrocera oleae (olive fruit fly)
Lineage: Eukaryota; Metazoa; Arthropoda; Insecta; Diptera; Tephritidae
Source: RefSeq, a predicted model, not a curated record
AAAAAAUUGAUGUAAGAAAGUCUCGUUUGACAUUUCACUUGGAGUCUGUGCUGAGAAAAUUUCAUUGUUGCAAAACAUUAUUACGUACAUUAAAUAUACAUACAUACGUAAUUAGUUUUUUGUUAUUUUUCUAGUUGAAAUAUCUAUGACCAAAUUAUUUUGGCGAUUGCUGUCGAAGUGAAAAUCUCGCUCGGAUAUGGAUCCAGGUUCGCUUAGACUUUUGUCAUUGCCUGCCGAAGGAUAACCGCUAUUAAUUAAAAAUUAAAAUUGACAACUAAUCGUCAUACGUGGCGUAUGGUGAUUUAACCAUUGCAUUUUAAUGAGUCAACUCAGCAAGUCAUGACCACAGUAACUCUAAUACAUUAGAAGAAUUAGCGUAGAAACUAACACAGACACACCGUGCAACUCAUAAGCCCUAAAAGGGCCCUAAAUACUUACCCGAUACAUGGCUUGCAUGGAAUCCACCCAAAGUUAAGAAAUAAUUUAGUAUUAGAUGUUAAUUUAGUAUAUACAUACACACAUACAUAUGUAUGUGAAAAAAAUUUAAAUCCAAAGUUAUAAAUAAUAAAAUUCAGACAUCGAGUUUUGCACACAUUGUUUUUAUAAAUUAAAAUUGUUUUGGUAUUAUUUAUUUUACAGUAUUCAAGUGAUUCAUUAGAUUUUGAUUUUAUUCGGCACAAACAAAUCUUAAAUUAUUAUAGGCAAAUCUUUUUAUUAAAAGUUUUGGCAUUGCAAAAAGCUUUAUCAGUGCUUAAUUUAAUGCAAAGGAAAUUAAUUAAAUAUAUUGCUUCGCUGUGUAUAUUCGUGCUAUAUGUGAGAAGUACGACGAUAUCAUAUAACAAUAACGAAAUUAACAAAAAAAUUUACAAACUUUAAGAAAUAUAUUUAAUGAAUAUACACACUAUAUAAUAUAUAAUGUAUAUAUGUAAUAUCUAUAUAUUUUUAUGGUAUGUAUAUGCUUCGCUGUUGUUACAACUAUGUGUUUUAUGUAUUACGUUAUGUACAGACAUACAAACAAAUAAAAAUAUAUUUCCAACUUAAUUUAGCUUUAAACAAAUUAACUGAAAUCUAGGAAAGUCAAAGUCUAUUCACUGUCUUAAGCUAAAAAUUAUAGAUUAUAGAAUUAGGUAAAAAUACAUACACAAUUUGUGUAAAAAUUUACGUAUGCACGUGCUAUGAUAUUAUAAUUAUUAUUGUGUGAAAAACUGGCUUUGCUCAUCGAAUUAUACGAAUAAAAUAAUAACUACCACGCUACACCGAUCGGCGUUCAUUUACUACACUAAACUUAACGCCAUUAUUAACAUCUCAUAAUCACAAUUACCGAGAAUAAAAAUUCUCCAUUUGCAAAAACUAAUUAGAUUUACUAAGAGUGCAUAAAUAAUCCACGACGAAAAGCAACUUAAGUGGGGAACACCAAAUCAAAAUGGGUUCAGAUAUGUGCUUUAGGCUUUUUAUGUGCCCAAUACUUAAAAUUUACACGCAUAUAUUACAUUGUUUAGAUGUACGAAUUGUAUGUAGAGGUUCAAAUGUUGCUGUUGAAUUUGUUCUUAUUGUUGGCAAAAGCGUUUUACACGCCGUCAAAUGACUUCACAUUCCCUUUGUUGCCCUUGGUUUUGGUUUUCUGUUUUUAAAAGUUUUCGGCGCCAGAUACUGAACAUUCGUGGCACUCUGCCGACAACACUAUCGUCACUAAACUUCAUUAUCAUCAUUAUUAUUGCCAUUGUUGUAGCAGCACCAAAAUCAUUAUUGCAGUUAGACAUUUAAUGCAUUAUUGCACCGGUCAGCUAUUGCACGUAAUAAUUAUUUUUGUUUACAUAAUUUAACGUUUUGCGGGUUUUGCUUUCAGCCGGCAUGGGCAGCAUACCGUUAAACAGUUUCAUAAAUGUGUAUAUAGUUCUUGUAAUGUAAGCUUUUUUAUUUGGGUUUUUAUUGUUGUUGUAGUUGGCGCUAUCUGUUGUCUGUUGUAUGUCUUUUAUGUUUUGUGUUGUUGGUGUAUUUUCGGUGUUUGCUGCUACACAUACUCAUACAUAGAAUUUAUUACAACGUGGUACGUCUGGUUUGUCUGAUUUUAUUUUUAGAUUUAAUUCAGUUUUUACUAUUAGCUGGCUGGCUAGCUGACUGACUGCGGCAUUGUUUAAAGCUAAUGUAAGUUGAUGCAAAUCAAAAUGUAUUAUCGUCAAUUUGCAUCUCCAAUUCGAUGUCCGAAAGAUUCACCUCACGCAAAGAAUUUAUGAACAUAUAACGUGAAAAGUAAAUAUACAACCAGCGGAACCAUUUCAUUUGGGAUUUAUGCUCACGCAUAGCGCGACGUAUUUGUGCAGCCUCAUCCCAUCCCAAUAUACACCUUUAAAGAAUAUAAUGAGAAUAUAAAUUAACAAUGCAUUUCAUAAAAUUAAACAAAUUAAUAAGUAAAUAUAUACAUACAUACACAUAAUAUAAUAUAUAUGGAUCAUUCAAACUGUCUUUUAAUUUUUAAGAAAAUAGAAAUGUUCGAUAUAUUUUGUUUAAAUAGGUCGGACAUUACUUUAAUAUAUGUAUGUAUCUAAAUGUAUUUAUCGUUUUGAUUUUUAGUUGAAGAAUUAAAAUUUAACAAUAAUUAAAAUUUAAAUUGUUUAUGUAAAAAUUUAUUUAUUUAUUAUAUUUAUUCACAUGUAUUUGAAAAUUAUCAUAUAUAAUGACCUUUCGUCAUAGCAAAAAUAUAUUGUAUAUGAAUAUAGAAAACUUACAAAUUCUGACCUAAUUUUAGGAAUUACACCUU